RNAcentral lists this ribosomal RNA (795 nucleotides) under uncultured marine bacterium. Its description in RNAcentral is "bacterial SSU rRNA". It matches the Rfam family "Bacterial small subunit ribosomal RNA", at positions 62 to 906 of the family's 1533-position model. The record is from RNAcentral.
UCGAACGAAGUACAAUACUUAGUGGCAGACGGGUGAGUAACAUGUGGGUAUCUGCCCUUUGGCCUGGAAUAACACGAGGAAACUUGUGCUAAUACUGGAUAAGUCUUUACGGAGAAAGCUUUAUGCACCAUUGGAUGAGCCCGCACUUGAUUAGUUUGUUGGUGGGGUAAUGGCCUACCAAGACUUUGAUCAAUAGCUGAUUUGAGAGGAUGAUCAGCCACAUUGGGACUGAGACACGGCCCAAACUCCUACGGGAGGCAGCAGUGGGGAAUCUUGCACAAUGGAGGAAACUCUGAUGCGGCGAUGCCGCGUGAGUGAAGAAGGCCCUUGGGUUGUAAAGCUCUUUCGUCGGGGAAGAAAAUGACUGUACCCGAAUAAGAAGGUCCGGCUAACUUCGUGCCAGCAGCCGCGGCAAUACGAAGGGACCUAGCGUAGUUCGGAAUUACUGGGCUUAAAGAGUUCGUAGGUGGUUGAAAAAGUUGGUGGUGAAAUCCCAGAGCUUAACUCUGGAACUGCCAUCAAAACUUUUCAGCUAGAGUUUGAUAGAGGAAAGCAGAAUUUCUAGUGUAGAGGUGAAAUUCGUAGAUAUUAGAAAGAAUACCAAUUGCGAAGGCAGCUUUCUGGAUCAAUACUGACACUGAGGAACGAAAGCAUGGGUAGCGAAGAGGAUUAGAUACCCUCGUAGUCCAUGCCGUAAACGAUGUGUGUUAGACGUUGGAAAUUUAUUUUCAGUGUCGCAGCGAAAGCGAUAAACACACCGCCUGGGGAGUACGACCGCAAGGUUAAAACUCAAAU